Molecule: long non-coding RNA, 2211 nt
Organism: Sander lucioperca (pikeperch)
Lineage: Eukaryota; Metazoa; Chordata; Actinopteri; Perciformes; Percidae
Exons: 2
Source: RefSeq, a predicted model, not a curated record
UGAUGGUUAAUAACAUUAACCCUUUUUAUGGUCGUACAGUAUAUUUAGAUUUAGGGUUCAAACAAUCCAUUUAAAUUCAAGUUGACAUGUUAAGUUAAAAUGUUCAUUAGAUCAACAGGAUCAAGAUCCUUUGCCAUGAUUCUUCCUUUCCUCCUAAGAGCACCAGUCGAUUCAGUGUGAAUGACUAAAUAAAAUCUGUUCUUCAAACAUUGGGCUUUGAGAACAGCUCUGGACUUGUCAUGUUAAGAUUCCUAAUCAAAAAGAUAAAGUUCAGCUGAGGUCAUUCAUAUGAAUAGCUGCAAAAUACCUUUCUGCAACCUCUCUUUAGACAAGUGUCGCAGCUGUUGUAGAGUGAAAGCCAAGGUCAGGGACUAUAAAUUAUCACUCAUGACAGUUCUACCCAGCUAGUUCUACAGCCUUUGUCUCAUGGUUUCAUCAUGGCAUUGUUUCCUUUCCUUUGGCCUUGAGGACAAAGAUAACCCUGUGAAAUUCUUGUCUGGAUUUGUUCUCUCUGAUUGAGAAGGGCAGUAUCUGAUGAGGGGUAACAGGUGCAUGGCGAUAAAAAUAUACCUUAGUUUAUUCUAGAACAGAAGUUACGUAACUUUUUUUAUUUCUAUUCCAUUAAAAUAUGUAAUCGUUUGAUGGUUUGAAUCCAUCCAUCUUAGUCUAAAUUUAGUAAACAUGAAUCAAAACACAUUUAAGUGAACACUGCUUCAAGAAAAACAAAACCUUCAUUUUGUUGUUUUGGCCUCCUUUCAUGAAUGUAGCCAUUUGUCCACUCUCACCAUUUGUCAUCCCUUAGCAAUUAAAGCCAUAUGCAUGUUUUGUUUACUCUUGUAGAAUGGCAAUGAUGAGUGCUGAGCAAAAUUCCAAUGGACCGUGUUAGAGUUGAUCAGAAUUUGCUUUUACAUUGUUGGACUCAUUCUUAUUCUCAGCUGUCCAACUCCCUGUGAAAAUCGUCGUCUGCUUUGUGUCCCCAUCUUGGCUUUCAUCACCUUCUCGCUGUUUGGACACAGAGUUGUAACCAGAAUCCUCUAAGGUAAUGCCACUUGCGUUAGCAGAUAAAAUCUUUAUUGGAAAGAACAAACGGUGUCACCUUGAUAUGCUAUUGCUGCUGUUGUCUGCUAAUUAAUCCUAAAGUAUUUCUAAACACACUGAAGUCCUAGAUGUUAAGCAGUUGACACAGAUGAGCCUAUAGCACAAGGGUAAUGAGGUUAAGUUUUAAAGGGUCAGCAGAAGAAUUAAUAAAGCCAUGGCUUACAUUGUUCUGUUAGUGUUAGCAUGUGGAUGACAAAGAAUAACACUAUACAAUUUAUUUCUUAUUUUAUAAUCGUGUUGACAAUAUCUAAUCCCUUAGAAGGACGAGGGCAUGUGAGAUCAAGGUCAGCAUGUCGUGCUGGACUGAUAUCCACCCUUCACUUGGCUCCCUCUGACAGUGUAGGAGCCUCAGCAUCAGUCCCUCCUUUGUGCUGCUGCAGGAGAAUGAAGUACGUUACUCUGACGACAAAGGGGACCACAGCACAGAAGAUCCCGGAGGUCUUAGGUCGUCGUCCGUGAGCUUCACUCCUCAUCUAACCCUUUCUGUGAUGAAGAAUGAUAAGGCAGUAGACAAACAGAGAUGGAUUAGGGACAGAGGACCAACAAGACUCAACAAGUGUUAUCAAAGGUAACUUGGCUAAAAUUUUACAAGUUAGUGAUUCUGACAGUAAUUCUACAUGAAUAACAUUUAUUUUACUGCCCACAUUCCUUUACUGUAGUAUGUUGGCUUGGACACUAAUUAUUUUAAAUACAUGAAAAUGAAUGUUGAUUUUGUGGGAUUAGAUUAAUUUUAACAAUGUAGCACUGAAUGUAGUAUAUGGAGGAAAGUGUUUUAAAUAUUAUAAAAAGUUAAAGAGCCAAGCCCCCUUGAGUUUAGUCUCAAGCCAUUUGGGUUUUUUUAAACUAAAAACUAGAAUUCGAAGCCUAAGUUCUGAGGAAAUCAUUUAGUCUUUUUAAGACAUUUAAAACAGUUAUCUUUCAAACUGGGACCCUUUGUUGCAUGUUGUUCCCCAUCUCUCUCUACCUGCAUUUUUUUUUCCACCUUCAUUUUUUACAGGCAAGUUAUUAGGAACAGGUUCUUAUUUACAAUGGCGGCCUGACAAGUGACAAAGCCACUUAGGGGAAGGGAAGAAGGGCUAGAAAAUAAAAUACAUUAGACAUUCAUACAGUUAA